UGAACUUCUUUUCCCGGAGAAGAAGCAAUGACGGUAUCUGGGGAAUAACUAUCGACUAACUCUGUGCCAGAAACCGCAGUAAUACAGAUGAUGCAAGCGUUAUCCGGAAUAAUUGGGCGUAAAGCGUCUGUAGGUGGCUUUUUAAGUCCGCCGUCAAAUCCCAGGGCUCAACCCUACAUAGGCGGUUGAAACUACCAUGCUGGAGUACGGUAGGGGCAGAGGGAAUUUCCAGUGGAGCGAUGAAAUGCGUAGAGAUCGGAAAGAACACCAACGGCGAAAGCACUCUGAUGGGCCGACACUGACACUGAGAGACGAAAGAUAGGGGAGCGAAUGGUAUUAGACACCCCAGUUGUCCUAGCCGUAAAUGAUGGAUAAUAGGCGCUUAGCGUAUUGACCCGUGCAGUGCUGUAGCUAACAUGUUAUGUAUCCGCCUGGGGAGUACGUUCGCAUGAAUGUAACUCAAAGGAAUUGAUGGGGGCCCGCACAAGCGGUGGAGCAUGUGGUUUAAUUCGAUGCAAAGCGACGAACCUUAGAAGGGCUUGACAUACCGCGAAUCCUCUUGAAAGAGAGGGGUGCCUUCGGGAAUGCGGAGACAGGUUGUGCAUGGCUGUCGUCAGCUUGUGCCAUAAGGUGUUAGGUUAAGUCCCAUAAUGAGCGCAACCAUUGUUUUUAGUUGCCAUCCUUGAGUUUAGAACCCUGAACAGACUGCCGGAGGAAGGUGAGGAUGACGGCAAGUCAUCAUGUCUCUUAUGCCCUGGGCGACACACGUGCUACAAUUGCCAGGACAAAGGAUGGUGAUCCCGCGAUGGUGAGCUAACCCCAAAAACCCGUCCUUAGUUUUGAUUGCAGGCUGCAACUCGCGUGCAUGAAGCCGGAAUGACUAGUAAUCGCCGGUCAGAAAUAUGGAGGUGAAUUCAUCCCCGGGCCUUGUACACGCCGUCCGUCACACUAUGGGGGCUGGCCAUUCACGAAGUCGUUACCUUAACUGGAAGAAGGGGGAUGCCAAAGGCAGGGCUAGUGACUGGAUUGAAGUCGUAUCAAGGUAGCCAUACUGGAAGGUGCGGCUC
Molecule: ribosomal RNA, 1067 nt
Filed under: Solanum pimpinellifolium
Lineage: Eukaryota; Viridiplantae; Streptophyta; Magnoliopsida; Solanales; Solanaceae
Description: bacterial SSU rRNA
Rfam family: Bacterial small subunit ribosomal RNA
Source: RNAcentral